AACGAACGCUGGCGGCAUGCCUAACACAUGCAAGUCGAACGAGACCUUCGGGUCUAGUGGCGCACGGGUGCGUAACGCGUGGGGAUCUGCCCUUUGCUUCGGAAUAACAGUUAGAAAUGACUGCUAAUACCGGAUGAUGACUUCGGUCCAAAGAUUUAUCGGCAAAGGAUGAACCCGCGUAGGAUUAGCUAGUUGGUGGGUAAAGGCCUACCAAGGCGACGAUCCUUAGCUGGUCUGAGAGGAUGAUCAGCCACACUGGGACUGAGACGCGGCCCAGACUCCUACGGGAGGCAGCAGUGGGGAAUAUUGGACAAUGGGCGAAAGCCUGAUCCAGCAAUGCCGCGUGAGUGAUGAAGGCCUUAGGUGUAAGCUCUUUACCCGGGAUGAUAAUGACGUACGGACGG
Molecule: ribosomal RNA, 404 nt
Filed under: uncultured bacterium
Lineage: Bacteria
Description: bacterial SSU rRNA
Rfam family: Bacterial small subunit ribosomal RNA
Source: RNAcentral